AGAGAAUCUGUUGGAGUUGGAGAA
RNAcentral lists this microRNA (24 nucleotides) under Rosa chinensis. RNAcentral's name for it is "sRNA RchiOBHm_Chr4g0410205". Lineage: Eukaryota; Viridiplantae; Streptophyta; Magnoliopsida; Rosales; Rosaceae. The record is from RNAcentral.